CACAGGUAGUCAAGAUGAGAAUUCUAAGGUGAGCGAGCGAACUCUCGUUAAGGAACUCGGCAAAAUGACCCCGUAACUUCGGGAGAAGGGGUGCUCUUUGAGGUUCACGCUUCGAAGAGCCGCAGUGAAUAGGCCCAAGCGACUGUUUAUCAAAAACACAGGUCUCUGCUAAACCGUAAGGUGACGUAUAGGGGCUGACGCCUGCCCGGUGCUGGAA
RNAcentral lists this ribosomal RNA (217 nucleotides) under Staphylococcus pseudintermedius. Its description in RNAcentral is "partial 23S ribosomal RNA". It matches the Rfam family "Bacterial large subunit ribosomal RNA", at positions 1658 to 1874 of the family's 2925-position model. Lineage: Bacteria; Bacillati; Bacillota; Bacilli; Caryophanales; Staphylococcaceae. The record is from RNAcentral.